CGAGACCUCGUCAUCGUUCGGUCACUUAAUACAGUUUUCUUUGUCUAAAACACUCCCGCGCACUGCUGUGCGAGUACGCAUAUUUUUUGCCAUUGAGAAAGGUCGCAUACCCAGGCAUGUGUCCUGCCCUGACGGUGCCUCAAACGAACUAAUGGAGUGAGUCUCCUGAUCGAGUCCGCUGGGCGGACAUCCUCGGGCGUGAUGUUUGGUAAUGCGUAUGCAGUUGAAUAAUUGGCCUAUACCCCGUUUGUUUAGGUAGUUUUAAGUUGGUUUAGUUAUUGUCCCCCCCGUCUAUUAAGUUUGUGCGUCCGUCUCGGUGUAGUAAUCCCCGCGUUCCUCGUCCUGUGUGCAAUAGGCAAACUCCCCCCCCCGCAUUUUGUUUCUUUUUUUUUUUUGUUUUCCUUUUUAGGCACUCGGCUCCACGAGUGUGUGCGUAUUUAAAAAUGCUAUUUAAUAUCGAUCGAUUUCUGCAUCUCGCGAUCCGUGUUCGGACGCACCCCGCCGGUUAACCCGUUGGGCCACCGUAACCACGGACCAAUCAAUCUAGAAUAAAAGCUUUCAGCUACUCUUCCCGGUUGUGUAAUAUGUGUGAUUUGGCAAACAUCACAUCCCUGCUGGGGUUUCCAAAAAUGUAUACUUCGUGUUCACGAAAUUCCACGUAGAGGUCCGUCUCUGAAUAUAUAUAUAUAUAUAUCGAUCUACGCGCACGUGAAUGUGAGUUCAUUAUUUUUAAUAACCAGUAGUAAGUCCCGGCCUGCCACGCCUCCAUUACAUCCAUACGUGCGUCUGGACUACGAGUGUUAAGAAUGGUUGACGCCCCACUCACCCCAUAUAUAUAUAUAUAUAUAUAUUUAAUAUAUGUCUAUCAUUUUAUGUAUACACACCGACGUGUAACCUAACAUUUUAUCAUUUUUCUACCUUUAACACUUAAUUUUUCAAAAAUAUUAUCUAGAUUCAAAUUUUCUUUGUUUAAUAGCUGAAUUAUUACAACUAACAAUGUUCAUAUCAGAAUUAUUAGUUAAAUCAGUUUCUUUUGAAACAUUAAUAGUUANAUUUUCAGCGAUAUUUUUACUAGAAUUAGUUGAAGUUCCUACUAUUUAAUAUUAGUAAAUGAUUUUCAGAUUAAAUCCAAAUUACAUUAUUUUAUUUAAAUAAAGUAAAACCUCUAUUUAACAAACUUUUUUUAAAGUUCUUUAAAAAAAAAUUGUGAAAUUGAAAUUUUGUUAAAAAGAAAUAAUACCUUUUUUAAUUUAUAAAACUCAUUUUUAGUGUACAAAAUGCAUUUAAAUAAUAAUAUUAUAUAAUAUUUAAUUUGGUAAAUCAAUAAAUAAUAUAACAAAAUUGGUCUAAAAUACAAUAAGUACCAAAUUACAUUAUUAAUAAUGUUAUCGGUUAACUAUUUGUGAUUAAAGAAUAAUAAACAUAUAUUUUUCUGAGUUUGUUUCUAUUACACCUUUAGUUCUUUUUUGGCUCUUUUGACGAAAUAUCCUGUAUUCCUGUUACUGAACAACUUUUAUACCAUUCUGACUAUAAAAAUACUCGCACCUAUUUAAAUAAGUCUGAUUGAUAAGUGAGUACCUACUUAAUAAAUAUAAAACAAAAGUUUUUAAAUUUGUUAUAGAAAAUUAAUUCAUUAAAAAGAAAUUUUUUUUUUGAUAAAUAGAAACAUUUUUGAAUAAAAAUUUAUGAUUUCACAAAACAUUUGUUAUAUAAAGUUUCGUUAAUAGAACUUUGUUAAAGAGAGGUACCAUUAUUUGAGCUUACAAUAAGGUAAUGUAUACCAUUUGCUUUUAUUAAAAAUUUAUCCAUUGUUAAAGUUCGUGGUAUAAAACGUAAAAAUAAAAAAAAAACUAUUACUAAACACUUAACUAGUAAACUAUAAGGAGUAUAAGGAAAUAUUUAGGUAAUACCCUGUGAUAGCGUUAAAGUUGAUAGUGCGACUGUAUAGACGUACAAAAAUUGGCAGUGACUAAAAUAUAUUCUAUAGUGUUUGGUUAGUAAAAUUAGUAUUAUCUACUAGCUAGUAUUAUAGCAGUGUUGCAUGCGGGUUAUUCUUAGAUAGUAGAUAAAUACUAAAAAAAAAAAUUUUUGUAUUUUUUUUAUAUAGUAUACUACCACAAUCGUUCAUUACCGACCAAGCCGAUAAAAAAAAAAAUUGCACAAAAUAUUGGUUACUGUGUACUAAUCUAAAUACUAAUUAUUCUAAGGCAGUGGUACUAACUGUGUGAUAGUGUAGAAUAUAGAUAGUAAUUAAAAUGUAGUUUGAUAGAAAACCAUUAAAAAAAAAAGAUAUGAAGCUAUAAAAUCAUACAAAAUAUUAUAAAGGUUUAAUUUGAAUAAUACACUCUUUUAGGGGCGGUGUUGAUGAUAACCACUACAGGUAUGGUUUCCCAGCCGCGACCUGUGCAAUGCCACAAAAAUUUGUCGCUGGGAUAGGUGAUAGUACUGGUCUGAGAGCAAUAUAAAAGUUUAUCCUGUAUAACAAAAUUUUCAUCAGCAGAGAAAGAACUCCCUAUUGAGGAAAUUAGAAAAAAUUAAUCAAUUUAUGCUCUUACUCAUUAAAAAUAUAAAGACAACAUUCAUAAGUCUUCUAUUUUUCUAUCCAGAAAUAAGCUGUCUAUUUUUGUUUCUUUUUAUCAUGUGUAAUUAAUAAUUCAUCUUCCUCUUCCUCAAAUAAAAGUAAAAUAAUUGUAUUAUUAUUUAUAACAAUCAUAUCCAAAUCUUAACUUGAAAAACAAAAAUACAAACAUUUUCAAAAUACAAAUAGUUAAAAGAUACUGCAGAAUACGGCUAUAAUUUAUCACUGUCCUGUCUAGGAAACUAGUCAGACCAUAAUAGGUCACACCUAGGAAACCGUACCUUUAAGGAACAGACAUUGUUUUCAUAAAUAGACUUACAAUUAAGAGUUGUUCAUAUAUCUGCACUGGGUUACAAUUAUUUUAAGUUAAAAUAGUGACUAAUAUAUCAGUAAUUAUAAUAAAUAAAUAUUCAAUUAGAUACCUACUUGCCUAUAUAGUUAUAUUUUAUAAGUUGAAUGAAACUGUCAUUUAUUAAACUACAUUUAAAUUUUUAGAUGUAGCUACAGAAAAGACCUAAAAAACCAUCAUUGAAGCGCUCAUUGACAACAAGUCCGUGCGAAAAAUGACCGCGACUUGCUAUCGCAACAUAUUUUUUCUGAUGUGUUUUACUAAACCCAACAUGUCACUUAGAAAAUGAUCNGAAAUUGUCAUUUAUUAAACUUCAUUUAAAUUUUUAGAUGUAGCUACAGAAAAGACCUAAAAAACUAUCAUUGAAGCGCUCAUUGACAACAAGUCCCUGCGACCAAUGGCCGCGACUUGCUAUCGCAACAUAUUUUUUCUGAUGUGUUUUACUUAACCCAACAUGUCACUUAGAAAAUGAUCAACAAAAAUUGGUGCAUAAAAGAUUAUUCUGCUAGUAACAAAUGGAAUUUUAUUCAUCACUAAGUGAGUGUAUUUAUUUUAGCUGUAACAAGUGCACACUGAAUAAUAAUAAAUGUCUAUUAAUCUGUUAAUUACAUAGUAUUAUAAUUUCAUAAUACCAUGUACACGAAUAUAUAAAUAAGUAAAAUUUAAGGAUAAAUGCAAAAUAAAAACUUGACAAUUUAAUUUUGCCAAAUUUAAUACACAAAAUUCCAUUCCAUUUUGCACAGAUUUCCGAAUGUCAUAUUAACAUUAACUUAAAUUUUUGGAACUAGUUUAAUAGAAUGUAAUAAACAUGCAAUGGCUAACUGAAUAUUAUUUUGAUUUUUAUUAUAAACCAUUUAAUGCACUGUACUUAGUUUUAUUAUUAAUUUAAAUUAUUUUUUUUUCGCUCAUUAGCAAAUGUUCAGUUUAAAUUUAUUGUUCCUCAACAUUCAAUUAUUAUUGUACACUAUGUGUUAUAUUAUAAAUAUUACAAAAGACUCAGUAGUUUAGUAAUUAUUAUCAUUUAAAUUCAUAGUGCAAUAUUGUGGUCAUUAGAUUAUUACAUUUACUUACAACAUAAAAAAAUAAAAGUAAUCCUUUUUCUUAUAAUUUUCAAUUUUCUGUUCUUUAGGAAGACAAUUCAGUGCCAUCCAACAACAGCAGAAUAAAAAUGCCACCUAUUCNUAUGUCUUCAGAGUUCAACAAUAGAUGUCUUUUUAGUGAAGCUCUGUAAUCAUGAGGGUUG
Non-coding RNA from Cinara cedri, 4170 nucleotides. The record is from the annotation of a GenBank genome assembly. Lineage: Eukaryota; Metazoa; Arthropoda; Insecta; Hemiptera; Aphididae.